This 604-nucleotide long non-coding RNA is filed under the name Macaca mulatta (Rhesus monkey). Its description in RNAcentral is "lncRNA (ENSMMUG00000061981.1)". The record is from RNAcentral. Lineage: Eukaryota; Metazoa; Chordata; Mammalia; Primates; Cercopithecidae.
GUGAUUGUCUAUCAUAACUUGGAUGGUAAUAAAAUAAAGUAAAAAAAUUUAAAAAGAAAAAUAAUAGAUACUACAAUCAGAUGAUUGACAAGUAUGUAAGGAAGUUUCCACUUGUAUAACAUCAUGCUAGCUAUUAUGACAAAUGCAGGGAUAAAACAGACUCUUAUAGCCUGCUAGAGGAGAUACCAUUUACAUUCAUGAAAAAUGACUGUGUUUAACCUAUUGUAGUUGUAAUUACAUAUCUGUGUGGUUACAGCAGUAGAAAAGGAGUUCGAGAUAGGAGUGAAUACUGUGACCUGAGGUUAUCAUUUCAUCUUUACAAUAUGCUUAGCACUAUGUAAGAAAUUGGAAAUACAAGAAGACAGAGUUCUUAUUCUCAAGAAACUCAGAAUCUCCUGAACCAAGGUUUAGUGAAUAAUAAACUUUCAAAUUUCCUUCCUUCACAACAACUGACCAUGACUAACUCUUUGUGAAAGAACUCUGAACACUAUAAGGACAUUUGAACUUCUAAAUUUGCUGAAUGGUUGAGUAGAUAUAAACAGGAAAACCUUGAUCUUGACACACAAAUUGACUACUGAAAGCAGGAUGAAGAAAGAGGAAGAAA